UACGAAGGGGGCUAGCGUUGCUCGGAAUUACUGGGCGUAAAGCGCACGUCGGCGGUCUUUUAAGUCGGGGGUGAAAUCCUGGAGCUCAACUCCAGAACUGCCUUCGAUACUGGAAGACUCGAGUCCGGGAGAGGUGAGUGGAACUGCGAGUGUAGAGGUGAAAUUCGUAGAUAUUCGCAAGAACACCAGUGGCGAAGGCGGCUCACUGGCCCGGUACUGACGCUGAGGUGCGAAAGCGUGGGGAGCAAACAGG
Molecule: ribosomal RNA, 253 nt
Filed under: uncultured bacterium
Lineage: Bacteria
Description: partial 16S ribosomal RNA
Rfam family: Bacterial small subunit ribosomal RNA
Source: RNAcentral